UACGUAGGGUGCAAGCGUUGUCCGGAAUUAUUGGGCGUAAAGAGCUCGUAGGCGGUGUGUCGCGUCGGCCGUGAAAACCCGCGGCUUAACUGCGGGCUUGCGGUUGAUACGGGCGGGCUAGAGUUCGGUAGGGGAGACUGGAAUUCCUGGUGUAGCGGUGAAAUGCGUAGAUAUCGAGAGGAACACCUGCGGCGAAGGCGGGUUGCUGGGCCGAUACUGACGCUGAGGAGCGAAAGCGUGGGGAGCGAACAGG
Molecule: ribosomal RNA, 253 nt
Filed under: uncultured bacterium
Lineage: Bacteria
Description: partial 16S ribosomal RNA
Rfam family: Bacterial small subunit ribosomal RNA
Source: RNAcentral